AACGAACGCUGGCGGCAUGCCUAACACAUGCAAGUCGAACGAAGCCUUCGGGCUUAGUGGCGCACGGGUGCGUAACGCGUGGGAAUCUGCCCUUGGGUUCGGAAUAACAGUUAGAAAUGACUGCUAAUACCGGAUGAUGUCUUCGGACCAAAGAUUUAUCGCCCAAGGAUGAGCCCGCGUAGGAUUAGGUAGUUGGUGGGGUAAUGGCCCACCAAGCCGACGAUCCUUAGCUGGUCUGAGAGGAUGAUCAGCCACACUGGGACUGAGACACGGGCCAUACUCCUAAGGGAGGCAGCAGUGGGGAAUAUUGGACAAUGGGCGAAAGCCUGAUCCAGCAAUGCUGCGUGAGUGAUGAAGGCCUUCGGGUUGUAAAGCUCUUUUACCAGGGAUGAUAAUGACAGUACCUGGAGAAUAAGCUCCGGCUAACUCCGUGCCAGCCGCCGCAGUAA
This 449-nucleotide ribosomal RNA is filed under the name uncultured bacterium. RNAcentral describes it as "partial 16S ribosomal RNA". It matches the Rfam family "Bacterial small subunit ribosomal RNA", at positions 29 to 523 of the family's 1533-position model. The record is from RNAcentral.